This 1465-nucleotide long non-coding RNA is filed under the name Oncorhynchus kisutch (coho salmon). Its description in RNAcentral is "lncRNA (ENSOKIG00005022709.1)". Lineage: Eukaryota; Metazoa; Chordata; Actinopteri; Salmoniformes; Salmonidae. The record is from RNAcentral.
UUUUGGGGAACCACUCAUUGUUCACCAGAGUGCCAUUUCCCCUACCUUAAGCUUUGUUGAAGUUGCGAUUCUGUUCUAAAGCUUGGGGAGUUUUAGCCUGCUGGACGGAUCAUCACAUGGUCUUCAUCUGUGAGAUGCAGAGACUCCUCAACCAGCCUGGCCACUCUCACUUUUUCCUUCUCCCCUGUGUUCUCUGGUCUUCCCCAGGCUCUCCUUCCUUCACGAGGACUGGAAACCCGACCCUACUGCACCUGUGAGCUCAUCGCUAGCUGGGCUUAGGGGUUAAAUAAAAAGGAGAGGAAGUCGAAAUCCCAACUGGAGGUGUGAUGCCUGCCUGUGGAGGGCUGGUCCAGGGCUGAGGGGGAGUUGAGGAAGAGGGACAGAGGGAGUGAGAGGGUUAAGUUACACAGUAUGAAGAGAAGGAAAUGCUGAGGUGUUGAUCUCACUGAAAAGUUGCUUGAGCCGCUGAGCAGUGGCCCCGUUCUCCUGCUCGCUCUCUGAAAGUUUACAAGUCAACCGUGCAGUACGAGGAAGGGGGAGCGCCACAGAGGACUGCGAGACUGCAUGCAUUUAGAGUCCCUGACAGCAGCCCUAGAGAAGGCAGCGUUGAACUUGGUGGCGCCUCUGAACCAGCCCGGGAGGCGAAGGACUGCUGCUGUGGCAUCGCCAGCGGAGUACAGGAGUAGCGGAGCAUACCGGGGAUAAACUGAAUCGUUGCCCGGACCAGCAUGCCCCCCCACAACAACCACCCGCCUCCGGGAAUUCUCGGACAGAGCCGCUAGGACCCUGGAGUACACCAGUCAAGAUGUGGAAGCCUGAAAGCCUGACAGAGUGAAAGCCUGCGCUGGGUGUCAUUCACGGGGGAAACGGACCAGGGAUAGUUCACCAUGCCCCAUGGAUAUACAAUAAAACGACGUUCAGCAUUCCUGAAAAAGGUGAAGACCAUCUUACUGCAUAAAACCAGUUUUAUCGCUGACAUCUGGAUGUGCGUUAUUAAAUAACUACAGCGCUGUCCACUAUAGCCUAAUAACACUACGGUGGUAAAUAUACAUAUAUUUUAAAACUUUAGCUAAAAUAGGAUAAAUUUGAUUUCACGCAUAUGGUUUAUGUUUUACGUACAAUAUAGCCUAUGGUUUUGUAUGUAAAACAAGCCUAUAUGAAACACUGACUACAUAUUCUUUUUAAAUGUACUUUAUAUGUAUUUUCCAUUUGAUUUCAAAUCAAGUACUUCAAGUGAGCCGUUUCAGACAAAUCUAUUGGCAUUGUGAGUGUCGUUUUUCCCUUUUUGCGCAGCGUUUGAAAUUCACCUGCGGUUCGUGACAUAUUGGUAAUGAUAAGGAACUUUUACCUACGCUGCUAUUGGCAGCUGUAACUGACAUUUAUUUAAAUUGCUGGCUAUAUUGACACAUCGGCUCAGGAUUCUAUUUAAAGAUGUUGCCAGUCCAGUGCUUCACCUGGAUUAGGG